This 405-nucleotide ribosomal RNA is filed under the name uncultured bacterium. RNAcentral describes it as "bacterial SSU rRNA". It matches the Rfam family "Bacterial small subunit ribosomal RNA", at positions 356 to 773 of the family's 1533-position model. The record is from RNAcentral.
GGGGAAUAUUGCACAAUGGGCGCAAGCCUGAUGCAGCAACGCCGCGUGGGGGAUGACGGCCUUCGGGUUGUAAACCCCUUUUAGCAGGGAAGAAGCGAAAGUGACGGUACCUGCAGAAAAAGCGCCGGCUAACUACGUGCCAGCAGCCGCGGUAAUACGUAGGGCGCAAGCGUUGUCCGGAAUUAUUGGGCGUAAAGAGCUCGUAGGCGGUUUGUCGCGUCUGCUGUGAAAACCCGAGGCUCAACCUCGGGCCUGCAGUGGGUACGGGCAGACUAGAGUGCGGUAGGGGAGACUGGAACUCCUGGUGUAGCGGUGGAAUGCGCAGAUAUCAGGAAGAACACCAAUGGCGAAGGCAGGUCUCUGGGCCGUAACUGACGCUGAGGAGCGAAAGCAUGGGGAGCGAAC